CUUAAGACCAGGGAGGUGGAGGGUGGUACCUGGCACUUUUUUUUUUUUUGUCAUUAUUGGCCUUCGUAUCAUCCAAAAAGCUCUGAAAACCAAGAAUUCUAUUUUAACAUCCUAUUACCAGAAUAUAGACAUCUUCUGUAACCAGAAGCACUCCAAGAACAACACUUUCAUUCAUGGACUUAACAACUACAUUAGAUCAUACCAGCCUGUCACUUCAAAGUCACCAGUGUCAAGGAACAUUUCAAAUGGGCUUAAAGCAUUGUUUUAGAGGUGUGAAUAAUGAAGCCAAGGACAUUAGCAACAUCAUGAAAGCAGGGGAGAGCACAGAAGACAUUAAGCAGAUAGAGAAGCCUGGGAGGGCUUCAGCAAGAAGAAAGUGGAAAGGCACUGGAGUUUGGGCCCCAAGCUGGCA
RNAcentral lists this long non-coding RNA (412 nucleotides) under Gorilla gorilla gorilla (western lowland gorilla). RNAcentral's name for it is "lncRNA (ENSGGOG00000044466.1)". Lineage: Eukaryota; Metazoa; Chordata; Mammalia; Primates; Hominidae. The record is from RNAcentral.